This 506-nucleotide ribosomal RNA is filed under the name uncultured bacterium. RNAcentral describes it as "partial 16S ribosomal RNA". It matches the Rfam family "Bacterial small subunit ribosomal RNA", at positions 29 to 523 of the family's 1533-position model. The record is from RNAcentral.
AUUGAACGCUGGCGGCAGGCCUAACACAUGCAAGUCGAACGGCAGCACAGAAGAGCUUGCUCUUUGGGUGGCGAGUGGCGGACGGGUGAGUAAUGUCUGGGAAACUGCCCGAUGGAGGGGGAUAACUACUGGAAACGGUAGCUAAUACCGCAUAACGUCGCGAGACCAAAGUGGGGGACCUUCGGGCCUCACACCAUCGGAUGUGCCCAGAUGGGAUUAGCUAGUAGGUGGGGUAAUGGCUCACCUAGGCGACGAUCCCUAGCUGGUCUGAGAGGAUGACCAGCCACACUGGAACUGAGACACGGUCCAGACUCCUACGGGAGGCAGCAGUGGGGAAUAUUGCACAAUGGGCGCAAGCCUGAUGCAGCCAUGCCGCGUGUAUGAAGAAGGCCUUCGGGUUGUAGAGUACUUUCAGCGGGGAGGAAGGCGGUGAGGUUAAUAACCUUGCCGAUUGACGUUACCCGCAGAAGAAGCACCGGCUAACUCCGUGCCAGCCGCCGCGGUAA